Molecule: non-coding RNA, 654 nt
Organism: Dermacentor albipictus
Lineage: Eukaryota; Metazoa; Arthropoda; Arachnida; Ixodida; Ixodidae
Source: RefSeq, a predicted model, not a curated record
UGAUUUCUGUAACAUCGUCCAUGUUGAGUGUGCGUCGGUAAUGCGCUUCGUGCCUCGUGGUUGGCUUCUCCGGGGACACAUGUCGUACCUGUAAGCCAUGUCGCACUAACCGACCUCUGGAUGAGCAAGCCAAAACGCGCUGUUGCGUCCCAGUGCGGCCGUUAGAGGCGCGCCGAGUUCCGCCUGCAGACGCGGCUGCCUUGGAGUUUGUUUGUUGGAGAUUUCAGCACUUGGAACUCACCUUUUCUAUUCUUUUACAAGUUCUUUAGAGAUUCAAUGCGCCUUAGAGCGGAGCCUUGCGCGCCCGAGUAACCAAAGCGGUUCACUUCUUUACGUCGACAUCUACACUGACAGAUCGCCAAUUAGCAAGAAGGUGACACCCUGCUGGCCAGGAGAUAUCCGAAGUGGAGCAGCCGGCUGCGUGGAGACAUCACAGACUGUUGUCCAUGUUGCUCGCAUUUGGCACCUGUGGCCUGACAAGAGCGUGCGGCAGUGGAUUCUGUUCACCUCGCUGCUCCAGUAGCCAGAGCGGAAGGCAAUGGAAAGAUUGCAACGGUGCACAUCACAUCUUCGAUGCGCUCACCUUGCUGGUUUGAAUCGUGUAGUGGACUCCCUGCUGCCUCCCCCGCUUGACCUGGUGGCGACGCACGGAAG